GUUUAAAGCUUCCGUUAAAAUAAAUACCAUAUAAUAAAAUCGAGAAAAUAUAUCUGGUUGUGUAAGGUUUACUUGAAUUAAAGUUUUUGAUAUGGAAUUUAUUUGGAAAACAUCCAAUGUAUAAGACUGAAGAAAGAUUUAUUAAUAAAAAUUACAAAAUUUGGUGUUAAUAGUAAACUUAAAAGUAUGGCUAGAAUGACCAAUUAAUAACUUCAAUAGAAAUUUAAUAGAUUUAGCUCAUUGUACGUUUAGGGGGCAUUCUAUGAUUUUUGGCAAUGUAGACUAUCGACCAAAAAUUUGAUGCCAUUGCAUGUUUCAUAGGUUUCAAAAAGUAAAAAGUCACAAAUAGGCGGCCAAGACGAGAACUUCUCGGUCCAAUUCGUGAAGAACAACCGUUAAUCUACUUGUGAAACGACUUUGAAAUGCUGAAAGGAAUCUGGUGUUUCUACGUUUAACGACCUUUUGCAUCAGAGAUGAAAGAAAUGAAACGAAACGUAAAAUUACGAAGAACCAAAAAUAUAUCUAACAGAAGGAUAAUAAGCUAUCACAGGUAUCUUGUUUAUCUAAAAGAUUAAGAUACGUAGAAACUUACUGGUAAGCAUUUUGGUGACGG
This is a long non-coding RNA of Bombus pyrosoma, 613 nucleotides long. RefSeq lists it as uncharacterized. The transcript is spliced from 3 exons. The record is from RefSeq and is a predicted model, not a curated record. NCBI's taxonomy places the organism in Eukaryota, Metazoa, Arthropoda, Insecta, Hymenoptera, Apidae.